GUUAAUUAAAUGGAGGAUACUAGCAGACCCUCGAGAUACUUGGUGAUCCCUCGUGAAUAAAUGGAGGAUACUAGGAGAUUCUAUUGAUACUUAGUGAUCACUCGUGAUUAAAUGGAGGAUACUAGGAGAUCCUCGAGAUACUUGGAGAUCCCUCGUGAUUAAAUGGAGGAUACUAGGAGAUCCUCGGGAUACAUAGAGAUCCCUUGUAUAUAUGAUGAGGAUACCAGGACAUCCCUGAUGUUAAAUAGCAUGUAGUGAUUGUUCGUGUAAUCGUAGAUUGUAUUAGUAGCUUGUUUCUGUUCUACUUAUUAUUUUUUCUAGAUACUCGAGAUUUACUAUACUCCUAGUGUCUAUUCAUUUCAUAUUUAUUUUUAUAUUUAUCUCAUUAGGGCCUCGACCUUCCUCGUCACUACUCAAUCGAGUUUAGGCUUGGCACUUACUGAGUACCGCAGUGGUGUACUCACGCCUCUUUUGCACAUGUUUUUCAUCUGCCGAUCCAGCUACUUCUGAGCAGGCGUAUUGCAAGUAGCUGCCAGGGAGCAUAUUGGAGACUCGAGGUAUACAUCUACUACGUUCGCAGAUCCGCA
Molecule: long non-coding RNA, 587 nt
Filed under: Nicotiana benthamiana
Lineage: Eukaryota; Viridiplantae; Streptophyta; Magnoliopsida; Solanales; Solanaceae
Description: long non-coding RNA (NBEN_LNC030360)
Source: RNAcentral